This is a non-coding RNA of Xenopus laevis (African clawed frog), 192 nucleotides long. NCBI's taxonomy places the organism in Eukaryota, Metazoa, Chordata, Amphibia, Anura, Pipidae. The record is from Rfam.
GGGGCUUCUCAGCCUUUUGGAUAAGAUCAAGUGUAGUAUCUGUUCUUAUCAGUUGGGGGUGGCAGACCCUUCUGAUGAGACAGAGAAACACUUGGUCCUCUUGCCAGGGGAUUAAUGCUUGAUGGAAGCCGAGGAGCUGUGCCCCCUCCGGGGGGUGCCUGACUCACUACGGGGUCUUGCACUUUAUGCUUU